GACGAACGCUGGCCGCGUGCCUUAAUACAUGCAAGUAGAACGCUGAAGGAGGAGCUUGCUUCUCUGGAUGAGUUGCGAACGGGUGAGUAACGCGUAGGUAACCUGCCUGGUAGCGGGGGAUAACUAUUGGAAACGAUAGCUAAUACCGCAUAAGAGUAGAUGUUGCAUGACAUUUGCUUAAAAGGUGCAAAUGCAUCACUACCAGAUGGACCUGCGUUGUAUUAGCUAGUUGGUGAGGUAACGGCUCACCAAGGCAACGAUACAUAGCCGACCUGAGAGGGUGAUCGGCCACACUGGGACUGAGACACGGCCCAGACUCCUACGGGAGGCAGCAGUAGGGAAUCUUCGGCAAUGGACGGAAGUCUGACCGAGCAACGCCGCGUGAGUGAAGAAGGUUUUCGGAUCGUAAAGCUCUGUUGUAAGAGAAGAACCAGUGUGAGAGUGGAAAGUUCACACUGUGACGUAUCUACCAGAAAG
RNAcentral lists this ribosomal RNA (477 nucleotides) under Streptococcus mitis. RNAcentral's name for it is "bacterial SSU rRNA". It matches the Rfam family "Bacterial small subunit ribosomal RNA", at positions 28 to 490 of the family's 1533-position model. Lineage: Bacteria; Bacillati; Bacillota; Bacilli; Lactobacillales; Streptococcaceae. The record is from RNAcentral.